This 777-nucleotide ribosomal RNA is filed under the name uncultured bacterium. Its description in RNAcentral is "bacterial SSU rRNA". It matches the Rfam family "Bacterial small subunit ribosomal RNA", at positions 103 to 863 of the family's 1533-position model. The record is from RNAcentral.
CGGGUGAGUAACACGUGGACAAUCUGCCUGUGAAUCCGGGAUAAUCCUUCGAAAGGGGGCCUAAUACCGGAUAACACCUCCUGGUGGCAUCUCCGGGCGGUCAAAGGCGGGGCAACCUGCCGUUUACAGAUGAGUCCGCGCUCCAUUAGCCAGUUGGCGGGGUAACGGCCCACCAAAGCUACGAUGGAUAGCCGGCCUGAGAGGGUGAUCGGCCACACUGGGACUGAGAUACGGCCCAGACUCCUACGGGAGGCAGCAGUAGGGAAUAUUGCGCAAUGGACGAAAGUCUGACGCAGCAACGCCGCGUGGGUGAUGAAGCAUUUCGGUGUGUAAAACCCUGUCAGUGGGGAAGAACCGUGCGAGGAGUCACUGCCUUGCACCUGACGGUACCCACAGAGGAAGUCCCGGCUAACUCCGUGCCAGCAGCCGCGGUAAUACGGGGGGGACAAGCGUUGUUCGGAUUUACUGGGCGUAAAGGGCGCGUAGGCGGACCGACAAGUCGGGUGUGAAACCUGCCAGCUUAACUGGCAGCCUGCAUUUGAUACUGUCGGCCUUGAGUACAGGAGAGGAGAAUGGAAUUCCAGGUGUAGCGGUGAAAUGCGUAGAUAUCUGGAAGAACACCGGUAGCGAAGGCGGUUCUCUGGACUGAUACUGACGCUUAAGCGCGAAGGCUUGGGGAGCAAACAGGAUUAGAUACCCUGGUAGUCCAAGCGGUAAACGAUGGGUACUAGGUGUCGGGGGUAUCGACCCCCUCGGUGCCGCAGCUAACGCCAUUAA